Molecule: ribosomal RNA, 272 nt
Filed under: uncultured bacterium
Lineage: Bacteria
Description: partial 16S ribosomal RNA
Rfam family: Bacterial small subunit ribosomal RNA
Source: RNAcentral
CCUGCCGGCGACCGGCGCACGGGUGAGUAACGCGUAUCCAACCUGCCCUUUACUAUGGGACAGCCCGUCGAAAGGCGGAUUAAUACCGUAUGUUGUCAUGUUGAUGCAUAUUUUCAUGACCAAAGGCUUCGGCCGGUAAAGGAUGGGGAUGCGUCUGAUUAGCUUGCCGGCGGGGUAACGGCCCACCGGGGCGACGAUCAGUAGGGGUUCUGAGAGGAAGGUCCCCCACAUUGGAACUGAGACACGGUCCAAACUCCUACGGGAGGCAGCAG